UGCAUACACAGUAGUUCUAGAGCCGGGCUACUUCCUCAUCCAGGCCUCGGUAGAGAUAAGGAGAAGCCUUUUGAAACAGAAUAAGCUGCUGCUCAUGACUGACUGCUCAGAUCAGUGUUCCAGCUGAAAGAAGUGUGGACAGAAUAAUGAUGCGAACGUGGAAAGUUAUGAAAGUUCCUAUGGUUCAUAAAGGAGAUAGAAAAGGAAGCAUGAAGAAACCUCUUUGUCAUUGGACAACACACCCCUUGACAUGAAGGGUCAGAUCUCUCCAACCCUCUCAGCUGUACAGCUGGGGAAGCAAGAAUGGAUAAGUUCUCUGAUAUUUUUGAAGCUGGCAUGAUUACCACUCCUUCCAGCUUGAAGACAACAGCAAGAUCAUUUUGGAUAAGACACCCUCGAUCUCUUUUUAAUAAUGCAUUUACCCGGGUGAUGUUCCGAGGUCAGCCAGUAGCCUCGUUUGUACAAGCAUCAGAGUUUACGAGUCCACAGCCCUUAAUUGCUGUGAACGUAGCAUUACAAGUGGGAAAAUACAAGAAUGAAGGGGAAUAGUAUUUCACUCCAGGUCUGACCAAUCCAAUGACUGCAACAGAACCGCUGUGCAUUCCUCACUUUCAGAAAACAGCCGUCACAUUUAGGUGCCUAAAUAUAGGCUUAGAAGCAUAACUGUUGACAUUCAUUAUUAAAAAUCUUGGCUGUACACCUUUGUCUGUAACAAGUGGCUGGAUCGCUUUCUGACAUAUGUAAACUUGAUACAUGAAACCUGACAAUACAAGAUGUGAAGCAUAACAGCAGGUUCAGAUACAUUACUAGGUACUUAUUUUAAUUUUUUUUUGAAAUGUGAGAAGAAAAAAACCUUUUCACUGAUUCACUGGGAAAAAAAAAAUUUGUUUUUAUAUUUCCUGUGAAACAGGUACACUUGGAGAUUGAAAGUUUGCUGGUGGAACACAAAAUAAUCUGCUUCAUCUAAAUAAUUUUUCCAAAUUGCUUAGGGUUAGGGUAGAAAAACAUUGUGUAGAGAAAUCCUAAUCAGCCUUAGUGAUACCGGACCAUGAAGGUUUAUUAGAGCCCUGUGAGCAGCCGUGAAGAGCCAAGGCAUUGCGUUUCUUGUAUUCCUUCCAUUUCUACUAAGUCCUGCAGGCUUUCAGCUGGAGCACUGGGGACCUUGGCCACCUGGUCCUGCCUGCCACACUCCUGCAGAACGGACGUUCAAGGAAUGAAGCGGGACCAUUUUACGAUCUCUCACUCUUGGACGAUUCUAGGCGGAACAAAUCAGAGCCGUCUUGAGGCUGCUCCAAGUGCUGCGCUGCACGGCUGAUCCUUAGCAAUCCUCACCAAAUCCAAGAGGUGGAAAGCCACACUGAAUCUUCUUAUUUCCAUUGGCACACGGCACAUGUUCACACGUGUUUGGCCUCAAGAACAGACUUCUUUUUUUUUUUUUUUAAGUAGAGUUUUCAAAAUAAUCAUCAGAAGAUUAGAUGUCUUCCUUGUAAGUUUUUCUUUACUAUUUAUAAUGAUGACUGGAAAGAAUGCAACUUAAUAACUUCACUUAAAACCCCACAACCUUCUAUUUUUAGAUAAGAAAAUUAACUUUUCACAUUCCUAAGAAGUGACUCCAUGGAACAGAGAGUUUAUAUUCAAUAAAGAGGGUCGGAAUUAAGACAUUUUUUGUUCGAUACGUUGUUAGGAGAGUGCUGCUCUAUUUAUGGUUCAUUUUUACUCCGUUUACAUUCCAGUGCCUGCUGAAAAACAUAUUCACAUUCUAGGGGAUGUCUAGAAAAAGAUUUUAUCGUUUCAUUUUAUAAUUUACAAAGACCACUCUAGUGAACUUUGCUGUAAUUCAUUUAAAUGUGACGGGUCUGUGACCUCUUACAGAAGGUCAAAAAUGUGUAAAGUCACCAUGAGAGGAUAAUGUCCUCAGCUCCUGUGCCCACAGUUAGCAAGUGAAACAGGAACAGCGGAGAGAGUGGUAAUGCUCCAUGCACAUUCUCCUCACCAUACCUGGAAUUACGUAGCUGGACUAAAACAUUUGGCUUUAGUGGAUCAUUGUGCGAGUACUCCCAUUGUGGAUGUCGAUGUCCCAAGUGGUUCAGUUGGAGCAUUUUUUGCUUAGUGCCUGCGGAUAAACUCCGACCCUCCCCUUCCCUGCGAGGCCAUAAAAGGACAGUGCCUGCUGUCUGACCCGCAUUUCCUCUCAGCUGCUUGACGGAGCUGUCUGGCCUUUCACACUAAUGAAUAUUCACAUCAUCAGUAUGACUUUUUUUUCUCACAGCCACUUCUCUUUUUUAUCCUCCUGCUUCAUUUUGCUGUUUCAUCCUCUUUCAUUAGAUAAAUCUUUCCUAUUUUGUGCGAUGGAAUAAGAGGCAUCCUAGCCUUCACACGCAUUCCAUCUCCUCAUCCUUUUCUUCUCCCAUCCUAACAUUAGUAGUUUUGAUUCUUUUCUUACAUUAUUUUCUACAUAGCAUUUAAGCAUUUUCAUGCCUCAAAUCCUUGCAGAAGGUCUCUGAUGAAUAUUAAUCUAGCCCUGCAUUUCUUACUGACCUCUGCCUCAUGUUCUAGAGCUGCAGGAGAUGCAGCUCCACUGAUGCCAGUGCAACAUGCAGCACCAAAUCUUCUAUUUCAUGAAGGAUCUGAUGGUGGAAGAAGACCUCAUCUCUCUGUGUCUCCUGAGGGAAGCUCUGGAGUCUUCUCACUCGGUUUGACACAGCACUAUUAUCCCUGCCAGUGGCCCCAUUCCAGAGCCCAUAAAAUCUUAGUGGUCAACUACUGCCUUUUUUUAACUCCACGAUGAGUUAAGAAAUUGCCUCUGGUGACACAGUGACAUCUGAUUACAUUCACUGCCAACUAACGGUGCUCCCCACGUUGCCACCACUGCAGCAGAAAGGUCCAAAAAUUGUUCUGAAAGGUAGAAAGCCCUGAGAAACAAAGGUAUUCUUCUAUCUCCUUUGAGAAGUGACAACUACUGUCUUUUCUUGUGAUGUCAGCACAUUGGAUAGUCUGAAUCUUUCAAAUGGAACAUAGAAUGAUCAUUAAUCAUCUAAUUAAGCAGUUCCAUCUUUGCUUUCCCACUCAGUCAUGUUUUUAAAUUGUUUUGUGAAUGGGACCGUUCUGCGAAGCAUUUGGCACAUUGCACCGCAGACAGCACACGCACCACCGCUCCGACACACAGAUUACACAGAUGUCAAGCAGCAAUCUGUCCCGUCUCCGAAAUACAAACGCAGGAAUCUAAGAAAAGGCCUCACAUCAAGCAACUAAAUUGCUGUGGCUUUUCAAAGCCGAAGAAAUAAAGCAAACUGCAGGAAGGCUGAUUGAUGCAGACCUUGAGAUGGAGGCACAAGGCAGAGCUGACGCCCCCUCUGCUCUGAACUAACAAUUACACUCUAUGGAGAUUGCUUGGUACGGUAAUGACUGCACCUUUAAGGAGACCUAAUCCUACUGUCAAAACGUCAGUGGUUUUGACUCGUUCCAUUCAUUACAAAAUUAAACAAAAAUACCUUUGAUCAAACCCAGCAAAUAUGAAUUUAAAAAAUAUCAUUUUGAUACAUAUUUUCAUGACUGAGAAAUGCUAUGGUGUGAAAAGCCAAUGACCACUAUGUAAAACUAGAGACAACAAUUUAAGCUUGUUUAUUUUGUUGACAGCUAGGAUCUAAGAAAUUUUUGGGGGGUCAAAGAUAAAACCAGCUGGAAAAUGGAAUUUCUAUUUCAAGAAAAUUUCUCUAAUUUUGACAAAGUAAUUAUGAAGAAUAAAACACAGAAUAAAAUGUUGACACUUUUAUCAAAUGAAACUUAUAAAUGUUUUGGUUUGGAUUUUCCUGAUAUUUAAUUUUGAUGGGGCCAAACCAGCUCAUUGACUUUAUUGCCUGAAUUGUCUUUCAACUCUUCUAUUGUACUGAAAGAAUAUUUGAACAUAUACAAAAUUUUAAACUGGAUACUUUUACAAAAAUCUUUAGUAUGCAGUAAAGUGCAGAAAACCAAUCUACAUGACAUGGUAACUUUUAGACAUCUCAGCACAGAUAAUUAAUCCAAUCUCAUUCCCAGGUAAGAUUUCUAUCUUUGGCAGGACUGCAUCAUUUAAAAUGGAAAAAUACCAAAAAAACCCAUCAGCUUGAUUCAUAACCUUCUCUGCUUCACUCCCUACCAGGCAAAGGCAAAGCGUCCUGAAAAAGCUCACAGGACAAAGCAACUGUGUUUAUAAUGGAGUAAAUGAAAUCGAGUGCAAAGGUUGCACAGCAGCUGUAAACUCCAAAGCUCGGUCACCAUGUGAUUUUCAGACUAUCAUCUGGAAAACUGAAUUCUACUGCUCAGCUGCAAGAGUUUGUGACAGUCAUGUCCAACUGCAUCACUGGAUGUGAUUGUUAUCACGUGUUAGAAAAUGACCAAGAUUUGUCUACAAAGGAAAAAAGUCUCAAUUGCUAUGAACUGAGGAACCCUAUUUUAGAACUGAGGAACUAAAUAUAAAAGGUACGUGACUGCAACAAGAACUCAUGAGGAAGCUCUUGGUUGUCAGAGUGCAAAGUGAAGGUCGACUGUCCAACCUCCUCCUGUCUCCACUGAACACGGGUAUUGCAACAGUGAUGCACCACUACAUUAAUCAACAGUCCCUUAGGUAUUGGCUCAAAGCUGGAGUAACAGAGCACUGAGCCAGAAAACACAAAUUUAAAAGCAUAACAUAAAAGCAAGAGGUUGUCUGGUGAGUGAUGAACCGAGGCUUUUACUGACAAGAGAACCUGUUCACUUCUCUUCUGCUUCACCAUCUCUUCCCUGCCAACUUAUUUCUCUCAUCUAUCAGUCCUGUCCUCUCACAACCUAAACUCUAAGGCAGGACUGUUCCUCUAAGAGGCAUUUACAACGUACUUGAAGGAGAUAUAAAACCUGAUACGCAGUACCAAGGUCCUACGCAGUAUUUUUGGCAGCAGACAUUUACAAAACAAUUAAAUAUCACUACCUCCAUUUCCUAGAUGAGGAAACUGCAACCUUCAAAACAGAAGUGAUGAAAAUCAUCAACAAUUGAAAUCCUUUACUAGUUUUUGGCCACAGGAAACACUCUUUACUCCUUUACAUUGGUACCGAUGCAUAGCACUACAGCAAAGCCAAUGCAGUAAAAACCAGGAGCACUGGCUUCCUUAGGCUGAUGUGCAGAAAGUAUUUCACAAAACAAGAAAUGCUUCUUAUGAAAAGACUAAUAUUUCUUACUUUAAGCUGAUGGUUUGGUCCAAAACACUAAGUCAUUCAUUCUUCUCUCCUCAAAAUGAAGACUAGAAAGGAUUCAAGAAGUCCAAAGCAGAACAGAUUUGAACAAAAGGAAUACAGCUUCUGUUCAAAACAGGUCUUGUCUUUUUCCUGUCCUCUUCAUUGUAUCAAUCAACUUGUAUCUUUCAUUAUUAAGGCUCUUGCGUGGUUCCUCCUGACAAAGGUCUUCCUCCUACCCUGCUGUCCUUGCAUUACCAUGGAUGAGAGCAUGUUGUCCCUCGCAAGAAUACGCAAAACAUGAAUUAUUUCUUACCUUACAGUGCACUUGUAGAUAAUAUAAAACAUAUGUCACUGUCUUGGUAACGCAUUCUUGUUGAUUAAUUAAACACUUCUUUCCCAUCACAUGUCACGAAACACAGACUGUCUGCUUUCUGUUUUUAUUUUCACUUACAAAGUUGUCAAAGACUCUAGCAACAUGCCCGCUGGGGCUGAAAACCUUGUAGCAGAGAGAAAACUAAAGCAGUGGUCUUCUUAGUGCUGCUACCUAUGGAACACCUAUGGGAAGUGUAUGGUACGCAAUGGUAAAAGCAAUCAACAUUCUCAUUUUCAAAGCCUCUGUGCCAUUGUUUCCACCCAUAGUUUUCAUUCUGAUUUACAGAAGAGGAGAAAGGGAAGAAGGCACAAGUGAAAUCUGCAUGGAUUCCAUGUUUCACAGCCUUUAUGCCUGGAUGCACAUAUACAUGUUUCCAUACUUGCUUUACUCUUUAAGACCCCUUUAAAAGAAAACUGAUUGUGAAGCAGGCAUCUCCUGUGGGAUCAGGAAGGGAGUUUCUUCUACAAAGGGCGUUCCUUGUAUUGAGUAGUAUGUAAAAAAAAGCACAGAAACAAAGAAAAAGAAA
Long non-coding RNA from Cuculus canorus (common cuckoo), 6086 nucleotides. RefSeq lists it as uncharacterized. The record is from RefSeq and is a predicted model, not a curated record. The transcript is spliced from 4 exons. Lineage: Eukaryota; Metazoa; Chordata; Aves; Cuculiformes; Cuculidae.